Rhineura floridana is the source of this 397-nucleotide long non-coding RNA. RefSeq lists it as uncharacterized. The record is from RefSeq and is a predicted model, not a curated record. The transcript is spliced from 3 exons. NCBI's taxonomy places the organism in Eukaryota, Metazoa, Chordata, Lepidosauria, Squamata, Rhineuridae.
UUAGGAGGCACGAGGGAAGAGGUAGGCAGGGCCUGCUAGUGUCUGAGAGGACAAAAUGGACACCAGAGGAAAAAGCCAGGACAACGGAGGAGAAGGCCUGGCAGUAGCAGAAUGGCGAAGAGCUGUGGAGGGGUGUCUCUGAAGCUGGUGAGGUUUUGGAAGAGAUUACCUGUGACAGCGACAAAGAGGACUGCAAGGCUUAAAGAAGCCAGCUUUUAUUUCUAAAUAAAAGGUUUUUUGUAUUCAUCUCCUGUGGAGUCCCUUGCUUUAUUCAAAAACAGGGGUGUCUCUGAAGCUGGUGAGGUUUUGGAAGAGAUUACCUGUGACAGCGACAAAGAGGACUGCAAGGCUUAAAGAAGCCAGCUUUUAUUUCUAAAUAAAAGGUUUUUUGUAUUCA